ACCACAACUCUCCUACCUUCUUUUCCCAGUGAGUUUCAAUUCUAAGCUGCUGUUAGCCCAAAAUAUUUAGAAAAGAGGAGAGUUAUAAAGAGAGAAGAAAAGAGUUACUAAAAUCUUAAAAGUCCCGAGACUAGGCCUAAAAUUAAAGACUAGAGAGAAGUACUAUAAAAUCUGUUUUAGAAACCCUCUAGCAAGCUAACCCUCGAACGAUUAACCCAUGGACAGCUAACCCCCUAACUACUUAUUCUAACCCAUAUUUGUAGUUCCUCUUUGUGUUUUUCUGUUCCUUGUGUGACAAGAUGUCAUUCUUUGGUUUCGGGUGUAUGACCAGAAGCCGUUCCAGGAGGACUAGUUACGAUAUGGACACAGAUACUCCUGCUUCAUCAUCAAGAGCUUCACCAGCACAUCCUUCCACUGAGGGCACUAUCAACAAGCUCAUGGUGGAGAAGGAUGUCCGGUUGUGUGGCCAAAUGGAGAAGGACAAGCUCUGGAAUAUCAAGGAUAGGGAAUACAAGUUGACAACAGUUUCCCAUCCUCAACUCCUAUGAGAUACAGCCUUCACCCCUAAAUAGGAGUACAUCUGCCCGACAUGUGAAUGCACCAUGCAUUACUACAGAGAAGAUCCAGCACCAGGGUUGGCAUACACUGAUCAACCAGGCACAUCAAGGCAAUAUCACCAAUGGACACCCUCACCAUCACACCAUUUUGAAGGAUCUUCCCAAGAUUUUGAGGAGAGGCACAGAAGAUCAAGAUCGCAAGAUUCUCAGCCCAGACGUGGAUCGUCCAGGACCAUCGCACAGACAUCAAGACCCACCAAGACACUCUGUCUCAAGUAAAGAGGGUCAACUGGCUCAUCUGAAUCUUCAAAUAGAUACUAUCUCCGAAGAGCAAGCCAACAUCAGCCAAACACUUAUUGAAUAGCAACAGUGGAAUACCCAGUGUGGUGAAACUUUGAACAAUAUACAGCAAAACUAGGCCAAAGAUGGAUGGAAUUGGGAAGCCUUCUACGCCAUUCCUCAGUUCCACCCAUAUAGGUCGCCUCCUUAGUGACACCCUUGGGAAGGAGUUCUCAAGGUCUCUCCAUCAACAAAUUCUAUGACACCGGCAACAGCAAGCUUGGGAGAGGAGCCCCCAAGUCUUUUCUUCUCCCUAAUUUGAGAUAGGAGAUCUCAAGUUCAUGCUACAUCACCUUUCGGGAGGUAACUCGAGAGCCAGGUAUCCCGUAAAACCCUAGUAGUUAUCUUAUUAUAAUUUGUUUCCAUCUAGAUAAUAAAUAAAACCAAAUCAAAAGAUUAUAUUUUCUUUAUUAUUAAGAAAAAGAUCAAAACCCAAAAAGAAACUUGAAAGUGGAAACCAUGAUGUAAAUGAUGAAUAGUUGCUCUGCCUGAAUUCCUUUAAAAGUACAUAGUAUUCAGUCUUGAAUUCUCCUGAGUUUUGGAUCUGACUGUUCUGAUUUAAGAAUUUACUCUAAUCUAAAACUUGUGAGUAGCAGUUGCUUGAUCUAAGUCUAAGUAAUUGGCGGAUAUGAUAUAGAAAGUUUCAGCUGUUAUCCUCUUGUUCUAAGAGAUACUUGAAAUUUGGAGAUUUAUAUUUUGAAAACUUGAAACUAUCACAUGAUGAGUUCUUGUAUGAUGAGAGCUUUAAUUCAUACCAUAGCUUUAUACAUACAUAUUUGUUAGAAUAGGAAAACCAGCUCAUAAGCUACUUGUUUUGUGUUGAGUUUGGUCAACCUGUGUUAGACCCUUAUUGAGAGGUUCAUCAUGCUCUAAAGAUCAAGAAGAUUACACUUUACACCCCUUGCUACUUCUAUCCUGGAAGUACGCACCACCAUAUUCACCUAUUUAGAUCCACUCAAAAAUGUUAUGCUCCUACAUUGGGAGUAAACACCAAAAAUAUAUUUCCAUAGGUUUUUCCUUGAUUGCUAGCCAAACACUCAAAAAUAGUGCUCUAAUUUAUUGUUUAUCCUCUCGAAGAGUUUUUCAUCACAAAUUGGGCUAUUAUGAUUUGUUCUUAAAAAAGAGAGAAAAAAUAAGAAGAUAGAAAGAAAGAAAGAAGAAAUCCCCUGUUCCUCAAAAUUUCAAACUGAGAGAAGUACUUUUGUAAAUGAACAUUAUAGAAUUAUUCUUUCACCCUUCCUCUUCACAAAUAAUCUCUACCAUAAAUAUUCAUUUGAAACUACACAUGCACAUCUUGAUCUAAGGGUAUGGUCUCCCCUCCGAGGAUCCUGGUUUGAGUAUUGGCGAUAUAUGCAAGAUAAGUAUGUUGUAUCCUCUAAUUACCUUCAGCUCCACAUAAGCCUUAGUUAUAGGGAGAGAAGAGGGAAGAUACAAUGAUCAGUACCUUAGGAAGAAAUCCACAAAUACCACACAUGAGAGGCUUGAAAGGAUCAUACAAAGGAAUCUCUAAGCUUUAUUUUGAAAACUUUGCAAAACUCUAGAAAUAAGGUUGAUCAAAGAAUUCGAAAUAGUACUUGACUAUACUAUUUUGUCUUUCAAUUACUCAAGACCUAAGUAACAACAAUAAGAUCUAUAGUUGAAGGAAACAUGGGUAAGUUUGAAGAUUGAACUGUUUAUCCAUUGUUUGGUAGAAGAAUUCCUUGUUUGAAUAUUUGUGUACCUUUAAGGUGUGAAAGCAUUGCAACAACUCCUGAUACAUCACGGUAAUUUGCUAAGGGACUAGCAAAAGGCAAGCUUGGGGAGCAUAUUGAUGGUCCUUAAUGUCAACAAUAUACUUUCAAUUAAUGCACAACAUAAUGGCAAAAGAGUUAUUAAUGCUUAGUUGUAGGGAUUAUUCUAACAAGUUCCACGAGUUGUGUUGCUUUUACCUAUUUUGCAGGAUCAUUGACACUUCACCACAUCAAAGUGUUAUAAAUGAUGUAACCGAGCACACCAUUAUAAAGGGCUCAUCAAGACAAUCAAAACAGACAUAUCACUUGCUAUAUUUCGAUACGACCAAGAAUUCUCUAGAAUACUCUCGAAGAAUCACCAAACAAGAGUUUUAUGGACUAACAUGAUAAUUUCCACAACUUUGGUGAUUUGUGAAUUUUCAAGGAUAAAAAUAGAAAGAGUAGGAGCCAAGGAACCAAACCAAAUCAUGUCUCAAUUCCACAAGAAUUGAUGGGAAAGUUCUAGAGGACACCGGAAGACAAA
Long non-coding RNA from Sorghum bicolor (sorghum), 3149 nucleotides. RefSeq lists it as uncharacterized. The record is from RefSeq and is a predicted model, not a curated record. The transcript has 2 exons. Lineage: Eukaryota; Viridiplantae; Streptophyta; Magnoliopsida; Poales; Poaceae.